This 205-nucleotide long non-coding RNA is filed under the name Brachypodium distachyon (stiff brome). RNAcentral describes it as "long non-coding RNA (BDIS_LNC002317)". Lineage: Eukaryota; Viridiplantae; Streptophyta; Magnoliopsida; Poales; Poaceae. The record is from RNAcentral.
GGGGAAGUGAAUCGGGAGGACGAGAAGUUACAGGGAGGUUUCCUAAUCUCAACGCGCGCCGCACGAUAGAGCAUGCGUGGGCACGUCUGCCAAUUAGAUUGGCCGUUCAAUGUAUUUGGUACUUCCUCCGUUCCUAUAUACUUGUCAUGGUUUCAGUGCAAACAUAGAGAGUACAAUUUUAAGAUACGGUGCAAUGAGAGUUCUC